Molecule: long non-coding RNA, 1702 nt
Organism: Neoarius graeffei (lesser salmon catfish)
Lineage: Eukaryota; Metazoa; Chordata; Actinopteri; Siluriformes; Ariidae
Exons: 4
Source: RefSeq, a predicted model, not a curated record
CCUGGGGGGAGGGGUGAAAGAGGAUAAAUACUGAGCGGAAGUGGAACUCGCUCCUUUCUUUCCUCUGGACUUCUACAGUCCGCCGGAGCUGAAACGCGGAGCGUCAUGCUCUGCUGCUCCGGGAGGAAUCUCUGGCCAUCGAGCCGCCGCUUGCAUCUUUACUAUCUCUAGAGGAGGAAGAGGAGUUAAAUCACAUCUGCCAAGGGAUGUGUCGCACAGUCCUUCUGUUCCCGUGUCAGACGUCACGUGGGUGGGGCCACACCCUCCCAGAGAGGACCAGAAGCUCCCCUGCAGUCUGUACUCUGGGUCCAGUGGGCCUGUAGUGGACAGCGCCAGGUCUCCACGACCUGCCAAUUAAGCCACAAGAUACCACAAGCAACCACAAACAAACCCAGAAGCAACCACAAAACUAAACUAAACAGAAGCCUUUCCUCGCUUCUGGUGUCUGUUGCUUGGUUGGUGGGUUCUGUGGUUGGCCUGCCGUUGAACAAACGACAACCUUUUGUUUCUUCAAAGCUGUACGCCAUUUUCCAACUUGAUGAAAAAAAAUAAACAGUAAAACCAUUGAACAUGUUUGUGUGUGGAUUUUUUAAAUACUUGAGUUACUAAUCACUUCACCUGCAGCAGCAUGUGAACACCCUUACGUGGAAGAAGUGAAUGAACAAAGAACUGAAAGUCAGAUUGUUUCGAAACAAUCGGCCUUCAGGAAGCGAAAGCACAGACAGGGAAGCUCAGACUCAUUUGGAUACAAAACAACCCUGUUUACCUGCAUUAGGUAAUCCUAACCACAUACAUUUCAGGAACUUUUAUUUACAGUUGGCAUUUCUUUAGUUUAAAUUGUACAGAAGGCUUUUUUUUUUUGUUCAAUGCUAUCAUCCGCUAAAAAUGUUAUUUAACACUGAAUUAUCAAAUCCAUAACCAUGCAUGCAUUUGUGCGAAAAAGAACAACGCAGUGGACAGAUUCCAGACAAUUCGCACAAGUCAAUCAGAUCAAGAACAGCUUGCACUUUAUUUGAAUAAUAGUCGCUUGUGUUUUUGCAUCGUUCUUUAAACCUGUUGGUGAAAUAAUGAUGGGAUGGAUGGCAAUUUUCACUUUUCUAAUCCUAUUGUUUUUAAUUGAGCACCCUGUGAACAGAAAUGGAUGUGUAUAUACUAUGAUAUCCACUGUAGUGUGGAAAUUAAGUAUUCAUAAUAAUGAUUGUGUUCUUGGAUCUUGUGCUAAGACUUUAGAACUUGUGCUAAACAACCGUAAACCCUGCCAACAACCAUCUGAUACCAACAACCAUCCAGGGCUAGUCAUGAAGAUCUUCAUUCUGAUGUUUGAUAUGAACAUUCAGUGAAGCUCUUGACCUGCAUUAUAUUUGUGUUGCUGCCAUGAUUGAGCAAGUACCUAAAUGGGCAGGUGUUCCUGUUAAAAUGAGUGUAAAGGUGUCAUCUGCACCUGCUCACGCUCAAGACUCCACUUCCCAGAAUUCACAGCAGCCUUCAAAUAUGACCUCGUCCUCCAUCCUGCACCUCACUGCUCUGUCUCCUGAUGCACUGCACUCCGCUGGGUUCCAUCACAGCAGGCUACAUGACCUCGCACUCUCGGGGCCUGGUCAUGCUGUCUGACUUUAUUCAUUGCAUUUUGCUGUUGAUGUUCUGGUUCAGCUUUUUGCUUUAUAAUUUAGAUUUGUCUGCCUAAAUAAACUCCGCUUUUACA